CUACGGGCGGCAGCAGUGAGGAAUAUUGCACAAUGGGGGGAACCCUGAUGAAGCAACGCCGCGUGGAGGAUGACGCAUUUCGGUGUGUAAACUCCUUUUAUAUGUCAAGAAAAUGACGGUAGCAUAUGAAUAAGCACCGGCUAACUCCGUGCCAGCAGCCGCGGUAAUACGGAGGGUGCAAGCGUUACUCGGAAUCACUGGGCGUAAAGGACGCGUAGGCGGGUUGGAAAGUCAGGUGUGAAAUCCUACAGCUUAACUGUAGAACUGCACUUGAAACUUCUAAUCUAGAGUAUGGGAGGGGGAGUAGGAAUUAGUGGUGUAGGGGUAAAAUCCGUAGAUAUCACUAGGAAUACCUAAAGCGAAGGCGAUCUCCUGGAACAUUACUGACGCUAAGGCGUGAAAGCGUGGGGAGCAAACAGGAUUAGAUACCCCUGUAGUC
RNAcentral lists this ribosomal RNA (439 nucleotides) under uncultured bacterium. RNAcentral describes it as "partial 16S ribosomal RNA". It matches the Rfam family "Bacterial small subunit ribosomal RNA", at positions 339 to 795 of the family's 1533-position model. The record is from RNAcentral.